This 1246-nucleotide ribosomal RNA is filed under the name Phytoplasma sp. Its description in RNAcentral is "bacterial SSU rRNA". It matches the Rfam family "Bacterial small subunit ribosomal RNA", at positions 153 to 1399 of the family's 1533-position model. The record is from RNAcentral. Lineage: Bacteria; Bacillati; Mycoplasmatota; Mollicutes; Acholeplasmatales; Acholeplasmataceae. RNAcentral also lists the same sequence under 1 other name.
GAAACGACUGCUAAGACUGGAUAGGAGACAAGAAGGCAUCUUCUUGUUUUUAAAAGACCUAGCAAUAGGUAUGCUUAGGGAGGAGCUUGCGUCACAUUAGUUAGUUGGUGGGGUAAAGGCCUACCAAGACUAUGAUGUGUAGCCGGGCUGAGAGGUUGAACGGCCACAUUGGGACUGAGACACGGCCCAAACUCCUACGGGAGGCAGCAGUAGGGAAUUUUCGGCAAUGGAGGAAACUCUGACCGAGCAACGCCGCGUGAACGAUGAAGUAUUUCGGUACGUAAAGUUCUUUUAUUAGGGAAGAAUAAAUGAUGGAAAAAUCAUUCUGACGGUACCUAAUGAAUAAGCCCCGGCUAACUAUGUGCCAGCAGCCGCGGUAAUACAUAGGGGGCAAGCGUUAUCCGGAAUUAUUGGGCGUAAAGGGUGCGUAGGCGGUUAAAUAAGUUUAUGGUCUAAGUGCAAUGCUCAACAUUGUGAUGCUAUAAAAACUGUUUAGCUAGAGUAAGAUAGAGGCAAGUGGAAUUCCAUGUGUAGUGGUAAAAUGCGUAAAUAUAUGGAGGAACACCAGUAGCGAAGGCGGCUUGCUGGGUCUUUACUGACGCUGAGGCACGAAAGCGUGGGGAGCAAACAGGAUUAGAUACCCUGGUAGUCCACGCCGUAAACGAUGAGUACUAAACGUUGGGUAAAACCAGUGUUGAAGUUAACACAUUAAGUACUCCGCCUGAGUAGUACGUACGCAAGUAUGAAACUUAAAGGAAUUGACGGGACUCCGCACAAGCGGUGGAUCAUGUUGUUUAAUUCGAAGGUACCCGAAAAACCUCACCAGGUCUUGACAUGCUUCUGCAAAGCUGUAGAAACACAGUGGAGGUUAUCAGUUGCACAGGUGGUGCAUGGUUGUCGUCAGCUCGUGUCGUGAGAUGUUGGGUUAAGUCCCGCAACGAGCGCAACCCUUAUUGUUAGUUACCAGCACGUAAUGGUGGGGACUUUAGCAAGACUGCCAGUGAUAAAUUGGAGGAAGGUGGGGACGACGUCAAAUCAUCAUGCCCCUUAUGACCUGGGCUACAAACGUGAUACAAUGGCUGUUGCAAAGGGUAGCUGAAGCGCAAGUUUUUGGCGAAUCUCAAAAAAACAGUCUCAGUUCGGAUUGAAGUCUGCAACUCGACUUCAUGAAGUUGGAAUCGCUAGUAAUCGCGAAUCAGCAUGUCGCGGUGAAUACGUUCGCGGGGUUUGUACACACCGCCCGUCA